RNAcentral lists this ribosomal RNA (573 nucleotides) under uncultured bacterium. Its description in RNAcentral is "bacterial SSU rRNA". It matches the Rfam family "Bacterial small subunit ribosomal RNA", at positions 102 to 694 of the family's 1533-position model. The record is from RNAcentral.
ACGGGUGAGUAGCGCGUGGGAACCUGCCCUCUUGUGGGGGAUAACCGCGGGAAACUGCGGCUAAUACCGCAUAAGCCGGGUCUCUUGAGAGAGAGGUCCGGGAAAGAUUUAUCGCGAGAGGAGGGGCCCGCGUCGGAUUAGCUAGUUGGUGGGGUAACGGCCUACCAAGGCAGUGAUCCGUAGCUGGUCUGAGAGGAUGAUCAGCCACACUGGGACUGAGACACGGCCCAGACUCCUACGGGAGGCAGCAGUGGGGAAUAUUGGACAAUGGGCGCAAGCCUGAUCCAGCAAUGCCGCGUGAGUGAGGAAGGCCUUAGGGUUGUAAAGCUCUUUCACCCACGACGAUGAUGACGGUAGUGGGAGAAGAAGCCCCGGCUAACUUCGUGCCAGCAGCCGCGGUAAUACGAAGGGGGCGAGCGUUGUUCGGAUUUACUGGGCGUAAAGGGCGCGCAGGCGGCCAUCUUUGUCAGGCGUGAAAGCCCCGGGCUUAACCUGGGAAUGGCGCUUGGGACGGGUUGGCUAGAGAUCGGGAGAGGAGCGUGGAAUUCCCAGUGUAGAGGUGAAAUUCGUAGA